GAAAUAUGAAUCAAUCAGAAAAAGCUUCUAACUUUUUAAAUAGCAGUGUAAAUCUGUUAAUAUUUCU
Molecule: transfer RNA, 67 nt
Filed under: Elateroidea sp. 1 KM-2017
Lineage: Eukaryota; Metazoa; Arthropoda; Insecta; Coleoptera
Description: tRNA-Ser
Source: RNAcentral